This 577-nucleotide ribosomal RNA is filed under the name Alternaria sp. T9. RNAcentral's name for it is "eukaryotic LSU rRNA". The stretch from base 199 to 352 matches the Rfam family "5.8S ribosomal RNA". Lineage: Eukaryota; Fungi; Ascomycota; Dothideomycetes; Pleosporales; Pleosporaceae. The record is from RNAcentral.
CCUCUUCGGAAGGGACUUGGGGAGGGAUCAUUACACAAAUAUGAAGGCGGGCUGGAACCUCUCGGGGUUACAGCCUUGCUGAAUUAUUCACCCUUGUCUUUUGCGUACUUCUUGUUUCCUUGGUGGGUUCGCCCACCACUAGGACAAACAUAAACCUUUUGUAAUUGCAAUCAGCGUCAGUAACAAAUUAAUAAUUACAACUUUCAACAACGGAUCUCUUGGUUCUGGCAUCGAUGAAGAACGCAGCGAAAUGCGAUAAGUAGUGUGAAUUGCAGAAUUCAGUGAAUCAUCGAAUCUUUGAACGCACAUUGCGCCCUUUGGUAUUCCAAAGGGCAUGCCUGUUCGAGCGUCAUUUGUACCCUCAAGCUUUGCUUGGUGUUGGGCGUCUUGUCUCUAGCUUUGCUGGAGACUCGCCUUAAAGUAAUUGGCAGCCGGCCUACUGGUUUCGGAGCGCAGCACAAGUCGCACUCUCUAUCAGCAAAGGUCUAGCAUCCAUUAAGCCUUUUUUUCAACUUUUGACCUCGGAUCAGGUAGGGAUACCCGCUGAACUUAAGCAUAUCAAUAAGCCGGAGGAAGA